RNAcentral lists this ribosomal RNA (439 nucleotides) under uncultured bacterium. RNAcentral describes it as "partial 16S ribosomal RNA". It matches the Rfam family "Bacterial small subunit ribosomal RNA", at positions 339 to 795 of the family's 1533-position model. The record is from RNAcentral.
CUACGGGGGGCACCAGUGGGGAAUUUUGCGCAAUGGGGGAAACCCUGACGCAGCAAUACCGCGUGAGUGAAGAAGGCCUUUGGGUCGUAAAGCUCUUUUCUUGGGGAAGAUAGUGACGGUACCCAAGGAAUAAGCACCGGCUAACUCCGUGCCAGCAGCCGCGGUAAUACGGAGGGUGCAAGCGUUGUUCGGAUUUACUGGGCGUAAAGGGCACGUAGGCGGCACAGCAAGUUAAGGGUGAAAUCCCGGGGCUCAACUCCGGAACUGCUCUUAAAACUGCUGAGCUAGAGAUAGUUAGAGGCGGGUGGAAUUCCAGGUGUAGAGGUGAAAUUCGUAGAUAUCUGGAGGAACAACGGUGGCGAAGGCGGCCCGCUGGGGCUAUUCUGACGCUAAGGUGCGAAAGCGUGGGGAGCAAACGGGAUUAGAUACCCGCGUAGUC